This 253-nucleotide ribosomal RNA is filed under the name uncultured bacterium. RNAcentral's name for it is "partial 16S ribosomal RNA". It matches the Rfam family "Bacterial small subunit ribosomal RNA", at positions 524 to 776 of the family's 1533-position model. The record is from RNAcentral.
UACGGAGGGGGCUAGCGUUGUUCGGAAUUACUGGGCGUAAAGCGCACGUAGGCGGCUUGGUAAGUUAGAGGUGAAAGCCCGGAGCUCAACUCCGGAAUAGCCUUUAAGACUGCCGAGCUAGCAGGUGAGAGAGGUGAGUGGAAUUCCGAGUGUAGAGGUGAAAUUCGUAGAUAUUCGGAAGAACACCAGUGGCGAAGGCGGCUCACUGGCUCAUACUGGACGCUGAGGUGCGAAAGCGUGGGGAGCAAACAGG